UGAGGAAUAUUGGUCAAUGGGCGCAAGCCUGAACCAGCCAUGCCGCGUGCAGGAAGAAUGCCCUAUGGGUUGUAAACUGCUUUUAUUUGGGAAUAAACCCCUUUACGUGUAGAGGGCUGAAGGUACCAAAUGAAUAAGCACCGGCUAACUCCGUGCCAGCAGCCGCGGUAAUACGGAGGGUGCAAGCGUUAUCCGGAAUCAUUGGGUUUAAAGGGUCCGCAGGCGGAAAGGUAAGUCAGUGGUGAAAUCCUACAGCUUAACUGUAGAACUGCCUUUGAUACUUUCAUUCUUGAGUUCGGGAGAGAGAGACGGAAUUCCAGGUGUAGUGGUGAAAUACGUAGAUAUCUGGAAGAACACCAGUUGCGAAGGCGGUCUCUUGGUCCGAUACUGACGCUGAGGCGCGAAAGCGUGGGGAGCAAACA
RNAcentral lists this ribosomal RNA (422 nucleotides) under uncultured bacterium. Its description in RNAcentral is "bacterial SSU rRNA". It matches the Rfam family "Bacterial small subunit ribosomal RNA", at positions 355 to 774 of the family's 1533-position model. The record is from RNAcentral.